RNAcentral lists this ribosomal RNA (504 nucleotides) under uncultured bacterium. RNAcentral's name for it is "partial 16S ribosomal RNA". It matches the Rfam family "Bacterial small subunit ribosomal RNA", at positions 28 to 523 of the family's 1533-position model. The record is from RNAcentral.
GAUGAACGCUAGCGGCAGGCUUAACACAUGCAAGUCGAGGGGCAGCAUAAUGUAUAGCAAUAUAUAUGAUGGCGACCGGCGGACGGGUGCGUAACGCGUAUGCAACCUUCCCUGAACAGGGGGAUAAUCUGGAGAAAUCCGGUCUAAUACCCCAUAACAUUAGUAACGGCAUCGUUGUUAGUUGAAAUUUUUGGAGGUUCAGGAUGGGCAUGCGUAGCAUUAGCUUGUUGGUGAGGUAAUGGCUCACCAAGGCGACGAUGCUUGGGGGGACUGAGAGGUUAACCCCCCACACUGGGACUGAGACACGGCCCAGACUCCUACGGGAGGCAGCAGUGAGGAAUAUUGGUCAAUGGGCGGAAGCCUGAACCAGCCAUGCCGCGUGCAGGAUGACGGCUCUAUGAGUUGUAAACUGCUUUUGUACGAGGGUAAAGUGAGGCACGUGUGCCUUUUUGAAAGUAUCGUACGAAUAAGGAUCGGCUAACUCCGUGCCAGCCGCCGCAGUAA